Molecule: ribosomal RNA, 449 nt
Filed under: uncultured bacterium
Lineage: Bacteria
Description: partial 16S ribosomal RNA
Rfam family: Bacterial small subunit ribosomal RNA
Source: RNAcentral
AACGAACGCUGGCGGCAUGCCUAACACAUGCAAGUCGAACGAGACCUUCGGGUCUAGUGGCGCACGGGAGCGUAACGCGGGGGAAUCUACCCUUGGGUUCGGAAUAACAGUUAGAAAUGACUGCUAAUACCCGAUGAUGACGUACGUCCAACGAUUUAUCGCCCAAGGAUGGGCCCGCGUAAGAUUAGCUUGUUGCUGGGGUCAUGGCCUACCAAGGCGACGAUCUUUAGCUGGUCUGAGAGGAUGAGCAGCCACCCUGGGAAUGAGACACGGCCCAGACUCAUACGAGAGGCAGGAGUGGGGAAGAUUGGACAAUGGGCGGAAGCCUGAUCCAGCAAUGCCGCGUGAGUGGUGAAGGCCUUAGGGUUGUAAAGCUCUUUUACCAGGGAUGAUAAUGACAGUACCUGGAGAAUAAGCUCCGGCUAACUCCGUGCCAGCAGCCGCCGUAA